UACGGAGGAUGCAAGCGUUAUCCGGAAUGAUUGGGCGUAAAGCGUCCGCAGGUGGCGAUGUAAGUCUGCUGUUAAAGAGUCUAGCUCAACUAGAUAAGAGCGGUGGAAACUACAUAGCUAGAGUACGUUCGGGGCAGAGGGAAUUCCUGGUGUAGCGGUGAAAUGCGUAGAGAUCAGGAAGAACACCAGUGGCGAAGGCGCUCUGCUAGGCCGUAACUGACACUGAGGGACGAAAGCUAGGGGAGCGAAUGGG
Molecule: ribosomal RNA, 253 nt
Filed under: uncultured bacterium
Lineage: Bacteria
Description: partial 16S ribosomal RNA
Rfam family: Bacterial small subunit ribosomal RNA
Source: RNAcentral